Molecule: long non-coding RNA, 4201 nt
Organism: Pecten maximus
Lineage: Eukaryota; Metazoa; Mollusca; Bivalvia; Pectinida; Pectinidae
Exons: 2
Source: RefSeq, a predicted model, not a curated record
ACACAGGGGUUGUCUGCCCUGUUCCUACCAGAUUGAGUACAUCUUUACUACACACAUAAUCAGGAGUUGUCUGAUUGGAUAACGACUGACGACAGGACUAAUUGGAUAACCACUGACAACGGGACUGAUUGGAUAACCACUGACGACGGGACUGAUUGGAUAACCACUGACGACGGGACUGAUUGGAUAACGACUGACGACGGGACUGAUUGGAUAACGACGUACUGACGACGGGACUGAUUGGAUAACGACGUACUGACGACGGGACUGAUUGGAUAACCACUGACAACGGGACUGAUUGGAUAACCACUGACGACGGGACUGAUUGGAUAACCACUGACGACGGGACUGAUUGGAUAACCACUGAUGACGGGACUGAUUGGAUAACCACUGACGAAGGGACUGAUUGGAUAACCACUGACGACGGGACUGAUUGGAUAACCACUGACGACGGGACUGAUUGGAUAACCACUGACGACGGGACUGAUUGGAUAACCACUGACAACGGGACUGAUUGGAUAACCACUGACGACGGGACUGAUUGGAUAACGACUGACAACGGGACUGAUUGGAUAAAGACUGACGAAGGAACUGAUUGGAUAACAACUGACGACGGGACUGAUUGGAUAACAUCCUAAACAGUCAUCAAUGUAAUUAAGGAUAAUUCAAGGCUUUAACCUACAUAAUUAUUAAAUUGUCCAGAAAAAUGUUAACCUUCUCCAAGAUCAACAAGCGAGAUAGUUCACUAUACAUGAAAUUUAUGUUGUGCUGAUCUAGCUUAAAAGUUUUGAUGUGGCAACCAUUUAUAUAAUACUAAUUUUUCAGUUUUCUUAAAUCAGUGACAAAAUCAAAAAAGAAAAAGGAUAAAGAAAUAUUUCUGUUAUAACUCCCAGUAGAAAUUUUACCUUAGUAUUUGUUUAGAGUUCAGAAGUCCCGAGUUCAAACCCUGGUCUAGCUGAUUUGUAUUUUUCCUCUCUUGUUAUAUUGGACACCUAAAGAAAUACAUCACAGGGUGGCCACACGGGCCUUGUGUGUCUUCAUUGUCAAAGACUUUGUUGUAGGAUGGAGAAAUAUGGUGGAUCUGCAUGGGUUGGUUUAAAUGUCCAGCCAGCUCAAUCUUUGUCGAGGUCUUAUCUGUGAGUGGAGGCGUCACGUUCUUUCUGUCCAUUAUUUUUGUACAAGGAAUAUCAAAAGGUGUCCCUGUAGUUUUACAUCUAUAUGAUCUUGGUCCGUCUGACGAGUCCUUUGAGGAGAAUAUGUGUCUUGUGAGUUUUGUGACAGAAUCUAAUGGCAUAUUACCAAUUGUUUACCAUGUUGUUUGUAUGAAAAUAAUGAGAGUGCUAUAUCAUUGUUCUUCCUGUUGUUUAAGUUAUUUGUCGGUGCAUCACAUAUUUUUUUAUCAAUAAUAUUUUUAACUAUGCAUUUACUAUUUCAUUUUAUACAUAGUAUUUUUACAUACCAUAAUAAAAAAAUGUUAUGAAAAGGUAUUUCAUUGAAAUCGUAAUAUCUUCAUAAAUGUUUUAUGUAUUUGCUGUUAUCUAUGCAAAACCCUACAGAAAAAAUCUCAAUGUAUAUAAAUGACUAUACGGGGUGUAAAACAAUACAAAUCUAUGUGAGUGUGUUCAUUAUGUCACUGAAGAUCAGGAAUGUCACAUGUAUUGUAUGAGUUAAUGAAGUCCAUAUGAGCCACCAGUGUAAGAUUCUGUUGAUCAUAUAUACUAAUAUGUAACACAAAGUGACAAUGUACGUGUGUAUACCAUACGUAACACAAAGUGACAAUGUACGCGUAUACCGUACCUAACACAAAGUGACAAAGUACGUGUGUAUACCGUACCUAACACAAAGUGACAAUGUACGCGUAUACCGUACCUAACACAAAGUGACAAUGUACGUGUGUAUACUGUACGUAACACAAAGUGACAAUGUACGUAUGUAUACCGUACGUAACACAAAGUGACAAUGUACAUGCAUAUACAAUACCUAACACAGUGACCCCGAUCAUUUUUGUAUUGCAAAUAUGAUAUUACAAAAUUGUGAUUUCGUUAUAGAAAUUUUAUAUUGAAGGUCAUUUAAACCAAAGAUUUUUUAAUAUGAAAUCUAGUCACUUUUUAUUGUUUCUGAAUAUUUUUGUACAUGUUUAUGUAAUGAUGUAAAUAGUUUUAACUUAUUUAAACACAAAUUUGUUUACAAGUCAAUAUACAAAGCAAAACCAGCUCAAAUCGAAAUGUGUUAAUACUUGUUCCACCUCUUGUCCUUCAGGCCUAGCUAUUUACCUCUAUGUAACAGGUGUACAGUUAAGUCAUACCUGCUCCUUAAACUCUUAAAAACAUCCUCUGGUCAAAGUAAUGAUUUUAAUAAGCAGUGUUUCAUAAGUUGAGUUUAUUCAGAUGUGUUAAAAACUGGCAAUUCUAACUCAGCUAGAUUCUCCAGUCCCUGGUGGAGUUAAAUACCAUAAAUACCUGUGUAAUUUACACACUUUUUUGGCUUAAAAUUGCUGUUGUAGUGAGUGUUGCAUAGAUUAAAUUGUACAUCAAUUUUAAGGUGAUUUUUAGAGUGUGUAAAUUAUAAUGGAGCGUAAAGUAUAAGGAUUUUUACGACAACCAGACACCUUGUGUCAAACAUUUUGAUUGAAUAACCACUACCAUGUGAUACUGUCCGUAAAUUUUCAAUUUACAUCCAAAACCCAGAUUUUUGUUAUAUCAAUAAUCCCCGACACAUCAUGAAUAUAAUUUGUUUAGCACACAAAUCUAACAUGUGGUUACCAGUUUGAUUUGAGCAGGUUUUAAUAUUAAUCUUUAUACUACAAUUAUCAGCCCUAUUGUGUUCAAUAAAUCUAUCAAUUUCAAUUUUAUUCCUUUGUCAAAACUUUAGCUAAAAUUUACAAGUAGACAUACAUGAGAAAAUAUGAAUAAAUGUUCAUGGUUAUUUGUAUCAUUUUGCUUGUAAACACCUUCAUUAAAACAUUUUCCUUAAUGUCAGUAUAUACAGGUUCCAAUUUGUGGUGGUGAAAUGUUUACAUGUACAUGUAUAUGUUUAUUAUAUACAUUAAUCAAAUGAUUUGUAGAAAGGCCAUAUACAUUUAGGUGUCCAAAAUACACGACAUUUGAACCAACAAAUGGAUUCAUAUGUACAUUUUAACUAAAUUCAUUCAUACAGAAUGUAGUCCAUAGGACCCCUCAUCUCUCUUCAGAACUUGGCUUCUGUUUUGUGUAUAGUUUUCCACAAGUUAUUGUCAGAUUUGCCCCCUUAUACCUUCUUAACACCUAGUGUAACAUUUGUAUUUGAAGAGUAUUGCUCAAUUUUAUCAAUUAUAAUACAAACCUGAUCACGGUGACAGGUAAACAUUGUACUGGUCAAAAUAUUUCACUGUGUUCUGUACAAAUGUCAGGACUAUCAAGGUAAUGCAAAUGUUGGAAAAACUUCUUUAAACUGCAAUCUUUAAUGACAUGUAUUGAAACCUGGUUUUUAGGUCACCAUAGCUGAAGGCUCAUGGGGGCCUAUUGCAAUGGCCUUUUGUCUGUUUAUCGUGUGUAAAUUGUCCCUUUUCCUUGUACACACAAUUACUUCAGUAAAUAUGAACAGAUUUUCAUGAAACUUGGUAUGCAACCUUGUAUUGAUAAGAUCUUUAAUGAGUUUAAACAAUUGGACCGAUUCAACUGUAAAGAGUUAUAGCCCUUUGUAGUUUUAUUGCCAUAGGAACUUGUGCACACAAUAACUUGGGUCAACAUGAACAAAUUUUCGUGGAAACUUUGUGUGCAGCCUUAAUUAUAUCAAUUAGAUCUCAGAUGAAUUUGACAAUCAGGCCAAUUCAACUGUAACUUAGAGUUAUGGCCCUUUGUAGUGUUAUUGCCAUUGCCAUUAAUAUUGGACCUUGUGUAUAUAAUUUUGAAUUAAUUUUAAAAUGGUUAUAAUCAGCAGGUUUGGAUUAAAGUUUGACGGUAUGCACCUGUUGGCCUGAAUGACCUCAAGAGGCCAAUGGGCAGGGCCAAAAACGGUCAAAUUCAUUAAAAUAUUUCAGAACUCAGGUGAUUGUUAAGGCCCAUGUGCCUCUUGUUUAAAAAAAGAUAUAGAUUGUUUUCAAAAAUCUCCGAUUAAUGUGAAUGUAAUUUAUCUGUUAGAUUGUCUAUGUAGACAGUCAUGUUCUGUUUAUGUGUAUGAAGGUAGCUGUAGAACAUAUCAAUAAAUGUUGAUUUAUGGUAAA